RNAcentral lists this ribosomal RNA (497 nucleotides) under uncultured bacterium. Its description in RNAcentral is "partial 16S ribosomal RNA". It matches the Rfam family "Bacterial small subunit ribosomal RNA", at positions 28 to 507 of the family's 1533-position model. The record is from RNAcentral.
GAUGAACGCUGGCGGCGUGCCUAAUACAUGCAAGUCGAGCGAACGGACGAGAAGCUUGCUUUUCUGAUGUUAGCGGCGGACGGGUGAGUAACACGUGGAUAACCUACCUAUAAGACUGGGAUAACUUCGGGAAACCGGAGCUAAUACCGGAUAAUAUUUUGAACCGCAUGGUUCAAAAGUGAAAGACGGUCUUGCUGUCACUUAUAGAUGGAUCCGCGCUGCAUUAGCUAGUUGGUAAGGUAACGGCUUACCAAGGCAACGAUGCAUAGCCGAACUGAGAGGGUGAUCGGCCACACUGGAACUGAGACACGGUCCAGACUCCUACGGGAGGCAGCAGUAGGGAAUCUUCCGCAAUGGGCGAAAGGCUGACGGAGCAACGCCGCGUGAGUGAUGAAGGUCUUCGGAUCGUAAAACUCUGUUAUUAGGGAAGAACAUAUGUGUAAGUAAAUGUGCACAUCUUGACGGUAACUAAUCAGAAAGCCACGGCUAACUACGUG